CCCCCGGGGCUCUUCUCUACUUAGUACGAAAGGACCAGAUUUAAAAAAUAAUUUUUUUAGGUGAUUAACAUUAACUAUUUUGGCAGAAAAGUGCCAUGAAUUUAGAAUUCAUAAAUAUAAGUAAAUCUUAUAGAUAGUAC
This 140-nucleotide unclassified non-coding RNA is filed under the name Trithemis pallidinervis. RNAcentral describes it as "partial contains 16S ribosomal RNA and tRNA-Leu". Lineage: Eukaryota; Metazoa; Arthropoda; Insecta; Odonata; Libellulidae. The record is from RNAcentral.